UUGGCUGAUUCUGCAAUUAAUCUUUGAGUCGGUUUUCCUAGUCUCUGUUGUGGAAGUUCUUGAGCCAUAGACCAUGGCUGUGGUAAUCCUCGUCGUUUAGGUGGACAUUGCUCAUGUGGACUCAAAUGUUCAUUUGUACCAUCAAUAACAGUGACUUGAUCACCUUGAGUACUGGAGGAAUUGGGAACGUCUUCCUCAUGAGCGGGUGUUUUAAUCUCAAACUCCACCUUCUCUCGAGCAUCUUCCUGGUCACCUGUAUCAAUUGAGGAAAUAACAGUAUCUUUUA
Molecule: long non-coding RNA, 286 nt
Filed under: Phaseolus vulgaris (common bean)
Lineage: Eukaryota; Viridiplantae; Streptophyta; Magnoliopsida; Fabales; Fabaceae
Description: long non-coding RNA (PVUL_LNC003325)
Source: RNAcentral